GCCAGGGUGGCGGAGCGGCUACGCGGUUGAUUGCAGAUCAACUACAUCCCGGUUCAAAUCCGGGCCCUGGCUC
This 73-nucleotide transfer RNA is filed under the name Methanoregulaceae archaeon PtaB.Bin108. Its description in RNAcentral is "tRNA-Cys". It matches the Rfam family "tRNA". From Rfam's summary of the family: Transfer RNA (tRNA) molecules are approximately 80 nucleotides in length. Their secondary structure includes four short double-helical elements and three loops (D, anti-codon, and T loops). Further hydrogen bonds mediate the characteristic L-shaped molecular structure. tRNAs have two regions of fundamental functional importance: the anti-codon, which is responsible for specific mRNA codon recognition, and the 3' end, to which the tRNAs corresponding amino acid is attached (by aminoacyl-tRNA synthetases). tRNAs cope with the degeneracy of the genetic code in two manners: having more than one tRNA (with a specific anti-codon) for a particular amino acid; and 'wobble' base-pairing, i.e. permitting non-standard base-pairing at the 3rd anti-codon position. RNAcentral also lists the same sequence under 1 other name. Lineage: Archaea; Methanobacteriati; Methanobacteriota; Methanomicrobia; Methanomicrobiales; Methanoregulaceae. The record is from RNAcentral.